Molecule: long non-coding RNA, 11614 nt
Filed under: Lynx pardinus (Iberian lynx)
Lineage: Eukaryota; Metazoa; Chordata; Mammalia; Carnivora; Felidae
Source: RNAcentral
UCAUCUCCUUGACUUUGGACUUCACCUAUUGAGACCCUGUACAGUAAGUUUUACGGCAUUGGAAAAUGUUGAUGUAGGAGGGAAGUUUAGUGUAACCCCUGUUUGCUUCUCAUAGGGGGACAAUACAGAAAGCUAGAACUGGGACUCCUAAAGACCAUUUCCCCUCACUAUGUUUCAACAGCUCUCCAAUUUUUGGACAGCUUGUAGUACAUUAAUGAAUUAGAAUUGUAUUCCUCUCAUUUCCUUCUGGCUAAAAAAAGGCAGGGCGAGAAGCAAGGGAUUAAUAAUUCCUAAAUUAUUCGACCACACCUUGUGAUAUGUUUGGUAUUCCUAUAGCUCCAGUGGUUUUGAAGAGGAACCUCACAUAUGGGAAGUGUGUGCAAGGGAGAGCUGGAUGGGAGACAUGGGUCUUGUCAUUUUCCCAUGUUUCAGAUUUGGUUCAGACACGGCACCUGUCUUGUUCCAGCGAUUCAUUGCCUUCUUGUUUUAGCCAAAUGCUUUGUCUUUGCAGCCUCCUUUAUAAUGGUUGCUUCUGAGAGUCCUGAAAAGUAGGUCACGGUGUUUUCUGUCUGGAAAAGGAGGACCUUGAAGCUCAGAAAGGCCAAUGCCCUUCUCAGUCCUUGUGUGCUGACCUGAAACCGGACAAUCCAGUCAUUCUUCAGGACCACAACUAAUAUAGUUUAUUGUUUUGGUUACAUAUUUUCAGUGUCCUUGAACAUGUGUAUCAGGCUUCUAAAUAAAAUGUGUAAAGAAGACAUAAGAGUGAAUUGGAAGGAGGCAGAUGAUCGCCUGGUGUUGAACCCUGGCUUGGAUCGCUGACAAAUUGUGUGAGCUUAAGCAAAUACUCAACCUCUCUGAGCCUCAGUUUCCUCAUUCAUAAAAUGAGAGUCAUAACUUCUUUUAUAAGGGAGUGGGGUUUACUCAUAAUGUAUAUAAAUGGCCAAGUAGGGGCGCCUGGGUGGCGCAGUCGGUUAAGCGUCCGACUUCAGCCAGGUCACGAUCUCGCGGUCCGUGAGUUCGAGCCCCGCAUCAGGCUCUGGGCUGAUGGCUCAGAGCCUGGAGCCUGUUUCCGAUUCUGUGUCUCCCUCUCUCUCUGCCCCUCCCCUGUUCAUGCUUUGUCUCUCUCUGUCCCCCCAAAAAAUAAAUAAACGUUGAAAAAAAAAAUUAAAAAAAAAAAAAAAUAAAUGGCCAAGUAUUAUAACAUUAUUUAUGAAAUCCCUCAUUUGAAUUUGUCCUGAAUCUUCUUUAUAUCUCUUGUUUCUUUCAAAUUCAGGUCUAGGGCCCCCAGUGUGGUCUUUGGUGGGAAAUACUAAUCUAAAUGGUAAAGACAAUAAUUUGUUUUUACCGCUUUUAAGAACUUCAUCUUUAGGAUGGGUAAGCCAUGUGAAUGUUGAAGAUGGCAUAUGGUUAGCUGUUAGGGACAUUAGGCUCUAGCUAAGAUCAGCGAUGGCAACAAACCUCCCCAAACAACCUCACAGUGUAGGCUAUUAUUUCCAUAAACUUACCUGCUCUACGUUAACCAGCAUUCUAAAAUUUUUCCUUUGGUUAUGUACUUCUGUGGUCUGAAGGGACCAGUUCUUCCCCAUUGCUAGAUCGAUUCUGUGACUAGAUGAGACAGAAAGAAAGGUUGUCUCAAAGAGUACCUGCUUCCCAAAGUGUUCCCCUGUAACUCAGGAUAUGAGGUUUCUUUUUUCCUCUAAGGACUUUCAUUAUGCACAAGUUUAUUUCAUUCCUAUUGUGUGCAAGACAUAGAGCCAGGUUACAAUGCUUCAAUGACCUCUGACGGUACUAGAAGAAAGAAGUCAUUUCACGAGUGAUUCUGCUACCAGUCAGAAUGGGCUUGUUUCAUGGGACAUGAGAAGUACAGGCAGAAUACAGACAGGGCCCAGACUCCACAGGGCCUUCACAUGCAAAACUGAUUCACCAAAAACAGGCAUUAUUGGUUGUACAUCCCCUUGGAAGGCUGUACAUUCUUGGAAAGCAAUUCAGAGGCUUUCAGGGCUCCUCCUUGGGUUCAACUUCUAAGUAAUGACCUGGAAAGGCAUAGAAGAGUCGCACCUUAAAGUUGCAUUUCAUCCUCACCCCUCUACCCCCCACCUCCCUGAUCAUUUCUUAACUCAGCACCUAUUUUGCUCUCAGGUCUGUGCUAAAUGCUGGAAAUAUAAUUCUGCCUUAAAAAAGGCCACAGACUUUCAUUUAACUUGAAAUUCUGUUCUCCAACCUAGCCAUCUACCUUCUCAGCUAAACUGGACUCCGAAAAGCACUUAGCUGGUUUCUGAAAUCAAAUCUGUACCUUAAUGAAUAAAAAAUUGCCACCAGUGAAUUUAUGCAGAGUGUGUGUUGCAGGCCAAGAAAGUAGUUUGAAAGGUUUUGACAGAUGCUUUUUAGAACUCCCACAGGCGCAGACAUUCUCCACUCUCCUCCACUUGCCAGCCCCCGACUCGGAGCGGCACUGCUUUGGCUCUAUGAAUUCUGCAGGUGAAAAACACAGACCUAACAAACAGACAUCCCCGGUCUCACUCCUGCUUCCUCACAUCAUGGCAGGACACACAUUGGAUGCCCUGCUGUGCUGCGGCUUCCUGCUGAAAUGGUGCAGGGCUGACCCCCAGCCAGGCUCUGAGCAGUUCAUCGGGCCUGGUAUGUGUGCUCUACAGCAGUGGUUAAUGCAGAGGGUUGGGGAACUUGUCAGGGAGAAGGUUGAUAACAUUUUGAUUAUUUUGGUUCCAGAAGAUUUCUUCAUAUUAAAUGCCUGUAACUGGGCAAUUUAUGUCUUCUUAGGGGCCAUGCACAAUCUCCUAUUUGGGGCAGGAAUGUGGCAGUGGGAAAUCUCAACCUUCAGAAGUCUUGUAAUGGAUGAUUAGCAAGAGAUGUUGGUUCGUGUGAAGAAAAAUAGCUCAUUUUAGGGCCAAGAUACGUACUUAAAACAUUUGAGGAAUGGUCAUGGAUUGCCCAGGAAGGCCCAAACCUCACAGAUCUGGGAAUCCCACCUGCCCCCACCCCACUGGGGAUCAGGUGGACCAUCGUGAGUGCUGCCAGGCAAGCCAGCACCCUGCUGCCCACAUGUCUGCACACCUGCCUCAACUUCCUGGGCCUUUCCUGUCUAGGUCCUUUGGUUUCCUCUCAUUCAUCUGAGUCACUCUUCUCUGUUCCCUGUAGUUGGGCUGCAGGGAAGUGGCCAUUUUUCUGAUUCUGCUGCUUCACUGUAAUAACCUCUACUGUAUCAAGUGCGAGGUGGCAUGCUGGGCUCUUGGCUUACCUUUUUACCAGUCCUGAGAUACUGCAGUGGCUAAAGCUUUGGAGCCAGACAGACCUUCAUCCAAAUAUCUGGUUGUCCCUGGUGUGUGAUCUUGAGUAGUUUAUUUAACCUCUCUGCUCUUCAGUUUCCCUAAGGUAAUAGGAGUGCUAAUUACUCACGAUAUAAGGUUUUAUGAGAUUUAAAUCAAAGCAUUUGCAGGCCCUUCCUAACAAUAGUUAGAUAGUUACAAAUAAAAUCCUUUCAACUCCCUGCAAGACAGAUGUUAUCUCUGCUCUCCAGAUAAGGUAGCAGAUGAGGUUAAUGCCAGGUCCAAGGCUACAGGGUAAUACUAGCCAGAACCAGGAUCUAAAACCAGUUCCGUCUGGCUCUAAAACCUAUGCUCUCUCUUCGCUCUCCUCUGUUGACUGACCAUCUGUGACAAAAUGUACUUUUUUUUUUUUCAAUCGAAGUCCACUUUGUCAAGUUCUGGCCUCAUGAGUCUGACCCGCAAGUGUUCCAGUUUUCACUUGUGACUUACUUUGUUUUAGACUCUCUGGUCUUACCUUGGCCUGUAUCAAAGAAUUUCGGAGGUAAUGAAGGUAGAACCUCUCUAAGUGGCCAAGUCUGGUGAAAUGCAGAGUCCAAUUUAUCUCAAAUGUCAGAAAACUGCUGAGACAAUUAUGAUAGUACUUCUUAACAAAAGUAUCUGUGGAGCCUCAGGCAAGCUGCUGUACUUCCUGUACUUCUCUGGGCCUCGUUUGUCCAAGGGGAAGUUUACGAAAUUUCAGAAAUCUCUUCCAGUGCCAACAUUUCCACGCAUAUUUCAGGCCUUUAUCUACUAUUGUUUUUCUUAGCUGGAAAGAGAAAAAUCUGUUGGAAAUCCUGUCUUAAUCAGGAAACAAGGAACAACAAUCGUGUCUGCAAACAUUUCAGUGUAAAUCCAUAUGCCGCUUAUUAUGAUUCUCAUUCAACAAGCUUUGUCUCAUACAAGACUCAUCAUUGCUGAAUUAAUUUUUCAGAUUUGUGUUCAAUUUCCUUUCUUACAUGAUUCAGCUUUGGGCAGAAUCUAAUUGAGCCUUACCUAGUUCAGAAAAUGCAACUUGAACACAAAUUUUAGAAACUUACCUAACACACAAAAUCCAUUUGACUAGGCCUGAGUUUUUAGUUAACUUCUGAAUGACUCAAAUUUGAAGAGUUGCUUGCCACACCAGCAUCCAUUUCUGGAGUCUUAAAGGGGCAAAUCUCCAUUAUGCUGUAGAAACGGUAGCCAUCCCAACAAGUCAUUCCUAUCCUAAAAUCCCAUAUUGCUGGUGCCACAUUUUUGUUGCCUUCCAACAACUUGACUUGGUUCCCUAACUACAAGCAAAAAACAAAUACAGAAGCAAAAACACUAGCAAGACAUAGCUCCCAUAUGACUUAUCAAGUUUCUAAAAGAUGAUUUUAUUGAACAUAAGUUUUAUGAGAAAGAUAUUUUCCAUUUAGAGACAAACAGAAGGCACCCAACUUUGAGAUUUUAUUUUUAAAAUAUUUUCUGGAAAGGUACACUUAAUAUAUGUGUUUUUCUUAUUGUAAUUGUCAUUUAAACAAAGUGAAUUUUCAGUCUUCUGAAAAAGCCUCUACUUUACGUGCAGUUAUUAAAUCGUUAUUUGUUGAAAAUGAAUUGGUGUCAUAUCCUACAAGGCACUGGGAUCCAGGGUGGGUAACGUCAUCUUCACUUGCUAGGAAGCCAGCAACAGCCUAUGGGGUGGUCUAUGCAAACAAAUGAAUAUAAUACGGGGUAGUGAAGUGCAAUGUCAUAGACGAGCUGUCUUAAAUUCUGCCUGAGGAAGUCAGGAUGGAUCACAGAGGGGGUUAUGCUGAGUUUCAAAGGAUGAGUAAACGUGUCAUGGUUUUGUGUGUUUAGGUGUUUAAGGAGAACCUGAGAAGAAUGAUUCAUUCAAGGGAUACCAUCUAGGAGGUAAUAUGCUAGAAUAUAAUUAAUAAUAGUUAUCGCUGCUUGUUAUGUGUACUUGCCAGGCAUAAGUAUCAUCACAUUUCAUUCUCAUACUGCCCUAAGAAAUAGGUACUAUUAUUUUCAUCCCCUUUUUAUAGAAGGGCUAACUAAGGCACAGAGUUCAUAUAAUUUGUCCAAGGUCUCAUGGUAAGUAACAGAUUUGAGUGAAACCCCAUCAGUCUGAUUUCAGACCCAUCUCUCAACCACUAUGGCCUGAAAACAUUCUUGUUAUUUCUUUGUAUAGCUAAUGUUAAGGAGGUCAUGGGGAAACGCUUGUCAGUCACAAGUUGAUCAGUGUGUAGAUAGCAAAGUAAUAAUAAACAAGAAUAAAAUUGCAAAUAAGAGAGCUAAUAAAAUAGGUUUAAAAGCCUCUGCUUUCAGCAAACCUGGUUGCUAGACAGUAAGCUCACAUUGGUAGUCUGUGAGUGUCCCACUUACAAAGACCAGAUUAUUUUGAUGUGAAUAAAUGAACAACUGGCUGUUGUAUAGAUAUCCUGGCAAGUUCAGGGUUCUCAUUCUCAGAAUUGCAAGACUGUCCAGCCCAUUAUUCAACCAGCAGUUCACAUACACAGAAAGGAGCCAGGACCAAAGUGGAAGAGUAGUCAUUAAUAAUUACGUGUGGGUAUUUCCGUUUCAGUAAGGUCAAUUUCCAUUGUAAUACAUAUCUUUUCGAAAGUAACUGUUCUUUCUUUUUUAUUUUUUAAUGUUUAUUUAUUUAUUUAUUUUGAAAGAGAGAGACAAAGAGAGUAUGAGCAGGAGGGGGGCAGGGAGAGAGAGGGGGAGAGAGAGAAUCCCAGGCAGGCUCCAAGCUGUCAGCACAGAGCCUGGAUGCAGGGCUCAAACCCACGAUCUGUGAGAUUGUGACCUGAGCUGAAAUGAAAAGUUGGCUGCUCAACUGACUGAGCCACCUUGUGCCCCUCAAAAGUAACUUUUCAUUUGAAAACACUAACAAAUCUAUGUAGUUGAAAGAUGGUGCCAUCUGGGGACUAGAGUCCUGGCUUAGUAGAAUCUAGGAUCCAGCACAGAAUACUGUGUGACCUUGGAUAGUCGCUACAUCUCCUAAUAGCACAUAAUCACAGCCUGGCACAUGCUAGACCCUCAAUAAAUAGUAAUUAUUGUAUUUUACUUAAGUGACCUAUUAAAUAAAAAUGGACAGAUUUCCAUUAUUUGUCAUUUUUCAACAUGUAUCUCCAGGGAACUUUGGUCAAUAUUGACCAUUAGAUACUGAUGGAAACAUGAGUAGGAUUAGCAAAUUCUUGUCAAAAAAGGAAAUAUUUUUGAAACAUGACUCAAGAGUUUAAGACUAUAAACUUUAAUCCAAUGAAAAGUGUUUUUCUUUUGAUUGAAAAUGAGACUUUCCAAAGUAUGUUCUGUUCUUUGUCUUGACCAAGAAUCCAUGCCUAAUAAGGGGAAAUAGUAGAGGUUGAAAGAAGUUGAAAAAAUGGUGAGCCUUACUGGAGGGCCAAGCCAUUUAGCAAAUGCAUUCUUCUUGUGGUCAUAGAAGUCAGAGUUGAUUUGAGAAGCCCCAUUUUAUUUAAAAACAAGACUAUAAAGGUUUUAAAGGCAAGAGCGUACAAGCUGAUGGCAGGGUGAAGAACAAGGAAUACAGUGAAAUUCAACUUCCAGAGACCAAAGUUUGUUGUUACUCUUCAUUUGUCUAACUUACUUUGUGGGAUACCACUUUUCAACCAUUCAGUAAACAAUGAACAGGUCAAUUUGAAUUAGAUUAUUUGAACUAUUAGUGGGGUCAGAAGAUAAAAUAAAUACAAGUUUAAAAAACUAGAUAACAGAGUAUUUUCAGUACAACAUUCUAUAAAAUAAUAAAUUGAUUCCCACUUCCUUCUGGAAAUAGGGAAAAGAAAGGUAGGUAGAGGCAUUCAAAUGAGAUGAUAAAUAAUUUGGAGUCAUCUGAAAUUUCAACAUGAAAUAUAUUUGGCCCAGAAUAAUCUUGGAUGUCUUACAUCAGAAAUUGGAGGUGAUAUUAUUUUAAUUAUGAUUUUUAAAUAUCACGUUCAAGAUAAGACCAUGGUCUUGAGAUAGUCACAUUCAAUAUGUUAUAGCAUACUUCUAGAAGUGUCCUAAUUUGUUUGAAAUUUGUAUUUUGGGUGCAUGUUAUAGCCAAUAAAAAACACUAGCAAUCACUUUUUUCCUCCUGAAAGUUGCUGCUGUUAAAUAGUUUUUCCCCCAGAAGGAAUGUCCCUCCAAUCCUGGAGAAAAAAAACAUCUGAUUAUGAAGCUUCUAGGUAAGUAAGAACCAAUUAGGCAAAAUGUAAAUCAAAGAGUAGUUACACUCAUAGUUUUAAUCCACAGUAAAAUCUGAGUGCAUCAGUAAACUUGCGAUGUUACAAAUCUGCAUCCUUCCUCUGAUUUAGAUCUUGAAACAGAUCUAUCAUCAAGCAGAAGAACCAAACAGGAAAUGCCCAUAUUCCUGUUUAUCAUGAGCACUUUGAGACAAGAACAUGUUCUUUAGCCACAGACUUAGAAUGAACUAAAGGAAAAUUAAAUUUGUCAGUGAAGCAUUUUAAUUAAAAAUAUGUUAUUUGUACGUUUUCACAUAAGUUGCAUAUUGUCAUUAAAAUGUUUCACUGAUCUAAUUUUCCCAAGUUCAUACUUGUUUAAGUGAUUGUUUUGACAAAAAAUCAGUAUACAUUACUUUUCAUUAUAUAGACAAAGAAGAAGACUGGCAGUUUUGAAACUACUUUCUUUAUUUUCUAAGGGAAGCAACAUCCUUUUAAAGGAAAAUGUGAGAAAUGGAAAAAGCAUGGAUAAAAAAAUCACAUAGAGUCCUUCCUUCCAAACUCAGGCUCUGUGAUCAUUUAUAGAUCUUUCUCGGUUUUCUUUUCUUUUCUUUUUAAAUAUUUCACUUGUGAAGUCUAACAUACAUAAAACUUACAUAUACUGUUUGUCAAGUGGUUAAAAAGUGAUUGCCAGUGUAACUGCCACACAGGGCAAGAAAUGAAAUGGUGCUGGAUGUGUCUCAUCCGGCCACAACUCCCCCCCCCCCCCCCCCCCCCCCCGUCACUGACCACUAUCCUGAUUUAUGCUAGCCAAUCCCUUGCUUUUCUUGAUAAAUUUACCUCCAACACUGUUGCCAUCUGCAUAUGCACCCCUAAACUGUGAACUUUUAGCUGUUUCUUUGCUUUAUGUAAGUAUCUGUACACUGUGUAUUUCUUUGGUGCCUUGCUUUUUAAAACUUCAAUAUUGUGAUUGUAAAAUUACCCCUGUUGUUGUAUUAGUUGUAGCUUAAUUUUCAUUAUUGAAUAAUAUUCCAUUAUAUGAAUUUAUCUAUUUAUGUACUAAUGGGCGUUUGGGUUAUUUCUAAGUGGAGAAUAUUAUGAACAAUAUUUGGAUCUGUGUCCCAGUGCAGGAUAUCCAUGCCUAGGGUAUAUGUCUAGGAGUGUAAUGGGUGGUCAUAAGGUAUGGCUUUUAAUGUUAUUUAAAUAUUUAAACAUAAUUUUCUAAGUAGCAUUUUUAUUAUCUCAUAGUUGCAAUAACCAUCAUUUCAUUGGGUACAUAAUCUUUCAUUUGUGCCUAAAUUUUACAGCCUGGUCUUUUGUAAUAAACGUACUCCUCCACUUUCUAACUUGUUCAUAAAAGUAAUACAAAGUCUGAAAACUUAUAGAAUUUAUAGCAGACACACAAGUGCAUGGGUUAUGGUCUUACAUAAACAGUUGUCAUAGAAGAUACUGAAACAAAUAUAUUUAAAAUAAUUCUUAGGGAAGUUUUUAAUUGAGUGGUGUUUGACUUAUAACACUGCAUAAGUUUGAGGUGUACAACAUAUUGAUUCGAUACAUUUAAAUUGCAGUAUGAUUGCCGUAGUAGUAAUAGCUAACACCUUUAUCACAUCACAUAAUUAUCAUUUCUUCUAGUAUUGAAAACAAUUAAAACCUGGUCUCUUAGCAAGUUUAAUGUUUAUAAUAUAGUUUUAUUGUCCAUAAUCACUGUACUGUGUUUUAGGUUUCCGAACUUACUUAGUAGUUCCAAGUAUAUAUCUUUAAACAUCUCUCCCAUUCUGCCACCCCCUGAGAAUUGUUGUUUAAAAUCCUAGAAUUCGCUUAACCUUUCUGUUAAAGGUUCAGUUUUUAGCUGUACAAUUCUGUGAUAAAUUAGACUUUAACUGUCAUAUUUUCCAAAGUCCACUCUUUGAGCUCUCCCUCCUGACUUCUUUGAGAGUAAUUUUAGAGUUUCUCCAAGUAGGCUCCCUGGUCCUCCACUUCAUACACAACCUUACUAUCCAAUAAAACCUUUUAAUGUGCUUUGACACAGGAACCAAGGUUGCUAAGAGACCACCUGUGCUGAAUGCACUUUGUUCUAGCAAAAGCUUACGGAGAGAAAACCAAGGAGCCGUGUUAUCUACCACUACCCGGGAUUAAGUCAGGUGAGAAAGGGUUUCUACUCACUCUUCAGUCCCCAUCAGCUGUCUGGUCUUUCUCUCACUUCCUAUUUUGGUCUCUUGCUGUUGUUGAAGGAAAUUCAAGGUGCCCCUAAGAACACAGAUUAAAGAAAUACAAACUUGGGGCCAUGGCUAUAGGAGAGAAGGAAAGGCAUUUUGUAAAUCCAUAUAUUAUUCUCACCCUUUGUUUCUAAAACAUAGGCAAAAGGAAUUGUUGAAUGUCAGGGAAAUUCUAGGUGUUUACUUUGCUAGUGACUGCUGUGUAAUUUGGAGCAUGCCAUUCCCUCCUCCAGGAAUGGGGCUGGUUACUACAGAAAUUAACCAAGGUUGCUACGAUGGAAGAAGGUAACACUGCACAAACCUCGUUUAUGCACCGUCCCCCCUCAUUCUCUCUUGCAACUCAACCUGCCUUUUGUUUUUUUAGUAAAAAUAGCAAAAAAUAUUUUCCUACCCCAAUAUUGCCACUUUAAAAAAUUUUUUUAAAGUUUAUUUAUUUAUUUUGAGAGAGACAGAGACAGCAUGAGUUAGGGAGGAGAGAAGAGAGAGGGAGAGAGAAGUCCCAAGCAGGCUCCACGCUGUCAGCAUAGAGCCGGAUGCAGGGCUUGAACUCACGAACAGUGAGAACAUGACCUGAGCAGAUACCAAGAGUGGGAUGCUUAACCAACUGAACCACCCAGGCGCCUCCCCAAUAUUGCCGCUUUUAAAAAGUACUGAUGUUCCUUUUAAGUAGAGUAUAUAAAAGGAACUUUGAUGCAAGGCUUUGAAAAUUACUUCAUUUAUUUGACCUUGCAUUCCUGAGAAAGGAGUUCAGAAUGGUUCUAAACUCCCUACCUGACAGGCAUUUGGUAAGAUGUUCCAACAGUGUGCUAAACAGAGAGCAUGUUAAUACCUUUUAAAAUUCCAUAAUACUUUUUGGAAAGCAUUUUAAAGUAAAAUACUUUAUUUUUAAAAAUUAUUUGGUUAACACAGAAAUGUAGAGGAAAUUAAAUGUUUGAUGUUUUAUUAAGUGACCAAAAUAAUGAGAGAGAGGAGCUUGAGGAAAGAUCAAGAAAAUUAAAAAGACCUUUUGCUGUUUAAUUAAAAAAAAUUUUAUCGGGGCGCCUGGGUGGCGCAGUCGGUUGAGCGUCCGACUUCAGCCAGGUCACGAUCUCGCGGUCUGUGAGUUCGAGCCCCGCGUCUGGCUCUGGGCUGAUGGCUCAGAGCCUGGAGCCUGUUUCCGAUUCUGUGUCUCCCUCUCUCUCUGCCCCUCCCCUGUUCAUGCUCUGUCUCUCUCUCUGUCCCAAAAAUAAAAAUAAAUGUUGAAAAAAAAAUUUAAAAAAAAAUUUAUCAUCUGCCUUUUUGCAUGUGUCCAAAUUCUCAUUUCCCUUUAAUACUGUCCAUACAAGUUGGAAGAAUGGCAAUUUCACCAAUGCCAGUAUAAAUGAUUGUAAAUAACUUUGCAGAGAAGAUUUCAUGACUAGACUACUGAUAACAUGACAAGAGAGUGGUCAUUCUGAUAGCUCCUUGAGCUGUUUCUUUUUAGAAAGAAAGGCAUGUUUGCCAUGUAGAAAAAUGUAUGAUUAUGAUAUAAAAUGGCCAAAAUGAGUGGAUGGAAAAUAUUUUAAUUCAUUAGGGAGCAACGUAUUUUAAUUUAUUAGUGGGUUACAGAUGUGUAUGGAUGUUUCCUCAUUACUAUUUUUUUACAGUACAAAUAUUCAAUUGACUUUAAAGGAUCAAGAUUAUAAAUAUAUUUAUUGGAGGAUAUUUUUCUUUCUUUCCCCUAGGGAGCAAGAGCAGCCUGGAUAUGACGUGUAAAAACUGGAUAUUAAUGUCUACUACUCCUCCCACAAGUCUGGAGGAUGAAAUUGUUGGAAGACUCCUAAAAAUUUUAUUUGUUAUCUUUGUUGACUUUAUGUCUAUUAUAUAUGUUGUUAUAACUUCCUAGAGAGUCUACUUUCCUUACUUUACACGUAAAUUUCACAUUAAUUUUGGUGAAUAAAAAUUUGGAGUUUAA